AUUUUCUUAAGGUCGUAUUAGAAUAGAAAACCACAACAGAAAAGUCUACGAAUUAGUAGAGUAAAAAUAAAAGUAAAAUAAAAUAUAAGAUACCAACACAAUAAUUAAAUGACAACUCAUGUAAUAUUUUAGUGGAAGCUAUCUUGCUUAAAUCUUUUGCUAUUGAUAGAGUUCAUUCUCCCCUUCCGAGCUUUUUCUUAGGUAUGCUCCUUCUAUAUUAGGUUGUGUAUACGAACACAUUUACAUUGGUCCAUUAAGCACCUCACAAUAAAAGGAAAUUUACACAUUCCUUUUUCACAAUCGUUGUUCUCAAUACAUUCAACAAGUACUGUGGUGAAAAAGAAAAAUAUAAGAAUAUUAAUAAAAUGAUAUAAAAGAUUGUGUAUGAGUAAACAUGAAAAUUUAGAAAAGAUGAAAAAUUUGCUUACCAUGGCCAUCAACGUCUAUUAAAACAAAAAACAUGAGAAUAAAGAAGAUUAUAACAUAGAUAAACUUGAGAAUAUUAACCAUAUUUUUCUCUCUUUACAUUAACUUAAUA
Molecule: long non-coding RNA, 538 nt
Filed under: Medicago truncatula (barrel medic)
Lineage: Eukaryota; Viridiplantae; Streptophyta; Magnoliopsida; Fabales; Fabaceae
Description: lncRNA gene31756
Source: RNAcentral